This 72-nucleotide transfer RNA is filed under the name Danio rerio (zebrafish). It matches the Rfam family "tRNA". From Rfam's summary of the family: Transfer RNA (tRNA) molecules are approximately 80 nucleotides in length. Their secondary structure includes four short double-helical elements and three loops (D, anti-codon, and T loops). Lineage: Eukaryota; Metazoa; Chordata; Actinopteri; Cypriniformes; Danionidae. The record is from Rfam by way of RNAcentral.
GGCUCAUUGGUCUAGAGGUAUGAUUCUUGCUUAGAGUACGAGAAGUUCUGGGUUCAAAUCCCGGAUGUGCUC